Molecule: ribosomal RNA, 565 nt
Filed under: uncultured Glomeromycotina
Lineage: Eukaryota; Fungi; Glomeromycota
Description: SSU rRNA
Rfam family: Eukaryotic small subunit ribosomal RNA
Source: RNAcentral
UUGGAGGGCAAGUCUGGUGCCAGCAGCCGCGGUAAUUCCAGCUCCAAUAGCGUAUAUUAAAGUUGUUGCAGUUAAAAAGCUCGUAGUUGAAUUUCGGGGUCAGUAGGUUGGUCAUGCCACUGGUAUGUACUGGUCUCACUGAUUCCUCCUUCCUGAUGAGCCGUAAUGCCAUUAAUUUGGUGUUGCGAGGAAUCUGGACUGUUACUUUGAAAAAAUUAGAGUGUUUAAAGCAGGCUAACGCUUGAAUACAUUAGCAUGGAAUAGUGAAAUAGGACGGAUGGUUCUAUUUUGUUGGUUUCUAGGAUCACCGUAAUGAUUAAUAGGGAUAGUUGGGGGCAUUAGUAUUCAAUUGUCAGAGGUGAAAUUCUUGGAUUUAUUGAAGACUAACUACUGCGAAAGCAUUUGCCAAGGAUGUUUUCAUUAAUCAAGAACGAAAGUUAGGGGAUCGAAGACGAUCAGAUACCGUCGUAGUCUUAACCAUAAACUAUGCCGACUAGGAAUCAGACGAUGUUAAUUUUUUAAUGACUCGUUUGGCACCUUACGGGAAACCAAAGUGUUUGGGUUC